Molecule: ribosomal RNA, 670 nt
Filed under: Enterobacter asburiae
Lineage: Bacteria; Pseudomonadati; Pseudomonadota; Gammaproteobacteria; Enterobacterales; Enterobacteriaceae
Description: bacterial SSU rRNA
Rfam family: Bacterial small subunit ribosomal RNA
Source: RNAcentral
GCUUGCUCUUGGGUGACGAGCGGCGGACGGGUGAGUAAUGUCUGGGAAACUGCCUGAUGGAGGGGGAUAACUACUGGAAACGGUAGCUAAUACCGCAUAACGUCGCAAGACCAAAGAGGGGGACCUUCGGGCCUCUUGCCAUCAGAUGUGCCCAGAUGGGAUUAGCUAGUAGGUGGGGUAACGGCUCACCUAGGCGACGAUCCCUAGCUGGUCUGAGAGGAUGACCAGCCACACUGGAACUGAGACACGGUCCAGACUCAUACGGGAGGCAGCAGUGGGGAAUAUUGCACAAUGGGCGCAAGCCUGAUGCAGCCAUGCCGCGUGUAUGAAGAAGGCCUUCGGGUUGUAAAGUACUUUCAGCGGGGAGGAAGGCGAUAAGGUUAAUAACCUUGUCGAUUGACGUUACCCGCAGAAGAAGCACCGGCUAACUCCGUGCCAGCAGCCGCGGUAAUACGGAGGGUGCAAGCGUUAAUCGGAAUUACUGGGCGUAAAGCGCACGCAGGCGGUCUGUCAAGUCGGAUGUGAAAUCCCCGGGCUCAACCUGGGAACUGCAUUCGAAACUGGCAGGCUAGAGUCUUGUAGAGGGGGGUAGAAUUCCAGGUGUAACGGUGAAAUGCGUAGAGAUCUGGAGGAAUACCCGUGGCGAAAGCGGCCCCCUGGACAAAAACUG